GUCACUUUGCCGGAGUGGUUAACGGGAUCGCCUGCUAACAGCACUAGCGGUUGGGCUUUGCCCGCGUGUGUUCGAAUCGCACAGGUGACG
This is a non-coding RNA of Chiua virens, 90 nucleotides long. The record is from the annotation of a GenBank genome assembly. NCBI's taxonomy places the organism in Eukaryota, Fungi, Basidiomycota, Agaricomycetes, Boletales, Boletaceae.